GGCGGCGGCGGCCAGGAGGUGCUCCGGCGGGUGCUCGGGUCGGGCUCCCAGGUCCGGUUCCUGGCGCUGUCG
RNAcentral lists this transfer RNA (72 nucleotides) under Acrocarpospora phusangensis. Its description in RNAcentral is "tRNA-Thr". The record is from RNAcentral. Lineage: Bacteria; Bacillati; Actinomycetota; Actinomycetes; Streptosporangiales; Streptosporangiaceae.